Molecule: ribosomal RNA, 484 nt
Filed under: uncultured bacterium
Lineage: Bacteria
Description: bacterial SSU rRNA
Rfam family: Bacterial small subunit ribosomal RNA
Source: RNAcentral
GCCCUUAGAGUUUGAUCCUGGCUCAGGACGAACGCUGGCGGCGCGCCUAACACAUGCAAGUCGAACGAGCGAGAGAGAGUUUACUUUUUCGAGCGAGUGGCGAACGGGUGAGUAACGCGUGAGGAACCUGCCUCAAAGAGGGGGACAACAGUUGGAAACGACUGCUAAUACCGCAUAAGCCCACGACCCGGCAUCGGGUAGAGGGAAAAGGAGCAAUCCGCUUUGAGAUGGCCUCGCGUCCGAUUAGCUAGUUGGUGAGGUAACGGCCCACCAAGGCGACGAUCGGUAGCCGGACUGAGAGGUUGAACGGCCACAUUGGGACUGAGACACGGCCCAGACUCCUACGGGAGGCAGCAGUGGGGAAUAUUGCACUAUGGGGGAAACCCUGAUGCAGCGACGCCGCGUGGAGGAAGAAGGUCUUCGGAUUGUAAACUCCUGUUGUGAGGGAGAUAAUAACGGUACUCAACAAGGAAGUGACGGCAAC